CACCAGGUAGCUCAAUUGGUAGAGCGUCCGUCUCGAGUUCGGACGGUCCCGGGUUCAAACCCCGGUCUAGCCG
Non-coding RNA from Mizuhopecten yessoensis (Yesso scallop), 73 nucleotides. The record is from the annotation of a RefSeq genome assembly. Lineage: Eukaryota; Metazoa; Mollusca; Bivalvia; Pectinida; Pectinidae.